UUUAUUUUGGUUGGGAUCUGGUCACUCUGAUGGUGGAUCAUACUGUGUUUUAUAUCCUGUUCUGUUUCCAGUGUUUUACUAUGACGCUCUGGGGAGGAAGCAUGACAUGGCAUGAAAGAGGAAAAAAAAGAAAAAGAAAACACAAUAAACAAAGC
This is a long non-coding RNA of Sphaeramia orbicularis (orbiculate cardinalfish), 155 nucleotides long. RefSeq lists it as uncharacterized. The record is from RefSeq and is a predicted model, not a curated record. Lineage: Eukaryota; Metazoa; Chordata; Actinopteri; Kurtiformes; Apogonidae. The transcript is spliced from 3 exons.